AGUGGAUGCUGGGGAUUUUUAUGAAGCAAAAUAUUUACAAAGAUUGAGGCUCAUAUUGUUUUCAGGAAAAUGGCGAACACGUGAUGGUUGAAUUCAGAGGUGAACCGGGCUUUCCGCGUUGGUCAAGCAAGGUGUUGCUGGUGUAGUGUGUUCAUCAGAGGGUGUGGAUUCAGUUUUACCGAGCCCUUUCUGUGGUGCAGGGGACCUGAACUCCAUCAGAUACUGCAGGUUUACUCACAGAAGCAUCCUCUGAACAAGAAGCGAUUAUGUUGUCAUGAAAAGGAUUCCAUUUGAUGUCCAGCACAUUGCCUUGGUGACCGCAGACCUUCGGAUAGUGAGGGUCGAUACGGCCAAACUGCAAGAGAGAAGUAUAGUUUCCAUUCAACAACUGAAGCUCCUUUGUCAUAAGAGGAAUUCCAUCUGAAAAGUCAAUGUUCUGCAACUAUAUCGCUCCCAUGUGUCUGGCUUUCAAGCAUGAUAAUUGCUUAUUCUUAAUCAGACAGUUGUAUCUGUAAUAUAGACUAAUGUCUUGGGUUGAAUAAACACAUUUGAAAGAUUUAAUAAACUACAUACACACAUUACAACAAACACAAAAUUGCAUUAAACUGCCAAACUCUC
This is a long non-coding RNA of Carassius gibelio (silver crucian carp), 618 nucleotides long. RefSeq lists it as uncharacterized. The transcript has 4 exons. The record is from RefSeq and is a predicted model, not a curated record. NCBI's taxonomy places the organism in Eukaryota, Metazoa, Chordata, Actinopteri, Cypriniformes, Cyprinidae.